This 497-nucleotide ribosomal RNA is filed under the name uncultured bacterium. RNAcentral's name for it is "partial 16S ribosomal RNA". It matches the Rfam family "Bacterial small subunit ribosomal RNA", at positions 28 to 507 of the family's 1533-position model. The record is from RNAcentral.
GAUUAACGCUGUCGGCGUGCCUAAUACAUUCAAGUCGAGCGAACAGACUAGGAGCUUGCUCCUCUGACGUUAGCGGCGGACGGGUGAGUAACACGUUGAUAACCUACCUAUAAGACUGGGAUAACUUCGGGAAACCGGAGCUAAUACCGGAUAACAUGUUUAACCGCAUGGUUCAACAGUGAAAGACGGUCUUGCUGUCACUUAUAGAUGGAUCCUCGCCGCAUUAGCUAGUUGGUAAGGUAACGGCUUACCAAGGCAACGAUGCGUAGCCGACCUGAGAGGGUGAUCGGAGACACUGGAAAUGAGACACGGUCCAGACGCCUACGGGAGGCAGCAGUAGGGAAUCUGACGCAAUGGGCGAAAGCCUGACGGAGCAACGCCGCGUGAGUGAAGAAGGUCUUCGGAUCGUAAAACUCUGUUAUUAGGGAAGAACAAAUGUGUAAGUAACUAUGCACGUCUUGACGGUACCUAAUCAGAAAGCCACGGCUAACUACGUG